CGUGGAUACCCCACAAUUCCGCUUCCAAAAUUGAACACAUCCCUAUUUUUCUUCCAAAUCCACAUCUCUAGUUUCCAUUGUAGUCUCUAGCAACUCCCCCGCAUAUAGCUUCUCCAGUUCUCUGAUUUCUGGUUCCGUCUGUAUUUAUUUUACAGUAGUUUCUAGUAGGCUUCUACCAUUUGUAGCGGCUGUUAUUUUUGCUUUGGGGGUUACCAGACUUAGUGACUCCUGGGUUCUGUAAAUCUUGGUUCAAUCUUUUAGCUUGUUGAAUAAUCGAUUCUCUUUCGAUCAUUUCUGGGUCGAAAAUUUUUUGAUUUCUUCUUUUCCAAAUGUUCCAGAUUACAGAGCUGAAGAAAGAUGGCCAGCUUUCAAUUGAUGGUGCAGGCGAUUGGGUUGCUUCAAGGUUCUCGAUUUCUCGGACAGAGUCUCAGCAUAUGGUUUAAAUCUUCUGCGGCAUAGAUGCAAAUGGGGCAACUUGCAUCCGUCGUUAUGUGCCUACGCUUUCUUUCCAGAUUGAUUUGACUGAGAAGACUCUGUUCUCCGAGGGGAUCCAACCUGGUGUGUCAGCAAGGUCUUCAUCGAUUGGAGGAGGUGUUGCUUUUAGUUUUCUGAUGGUUUGAUCUGAGAGUAGUCUUGUGAGUAUAUUCCAG
Hibiscus syriacus is the source of this 650-nucleotide long non-coding RNA. RefSeq lists it as uncharacterized. The transcript has 3 exons. Lineage: Eukaryota; Viridiplantae; Streptophyta; Magnoliopsida; Malvales; Malvaceae. The record is from RefSeq and is a predicted model, not a curated record.